RNAcentral lists this ribosomal RNA (427 nucleotides) under uncultured bacterium. Its description in RNAcentral is "bacterial SSU rRNA". It matches the Rfam family "Bacterial small subunit ribosomal RNA", at positions 355 to 774 of the family's 1533-position model. The record is from RNAcentral.
UGGGGAAUUUUGGACAAUGGGCGAAAGCCUGAUCCAGCCAUGCCGCGUGAGUGAAGAAGGCCUUCGGGUUGUAAAGCUCUUUCAGGUGGAAAGAAAACGCAUAGGUUAAUACCUUGUGCGGAUGACGGUACCAUCAGAAGAAGCACCGGCUAACUCUGUGCCAGCAGCCGCGGUAAUACAGAGGGUGCAAGCGUUAAUCGGAAUUACUGGGCGUAAAGCGCGCGUAGGUGGUUAGUUAAGUUGGAUGUGAAAUCCCCGGGCUCAACCUGGGAACUGCAUUCAAAACUGACUGACUAGAGUACGGCAGAGGGGGAUGGAAUUCCGCGUGUAGCAGUGAAAUGCGUAGAUAUGCGGAGGAACACCGAUGGCGAAGGCAAUCCCCUGGACCUGUACUGACGCUCAUGCACGAAAGCGUGGGGAGCAAACA